AAGUCGUAACAAGGUUUCCGUAGGUGAACCUGCGGAAGGAUCAUUAUAAAAUUUUCAUAUAUUAUUUAUUUAAUAUAUAAAAUUAUAUACAAAUGUAUUCAAAACCCACACACUUUAUAACCAAAAAAAAAAUAUAUAUUUUAAUAUAUAUAUAAAAAAACAACUUUCAACAACGGAUCUCUUGGCUCUC
Molecule: unclassified non-coding RNA, 190 nt
Rfam family: Eukaryotic small subunit ribosomal RNA (bases 1-46)